Molecule: ribosomal RNA, 806 nt
Filed under: Cantharellus cerinoalbus
Lineage: Eukaryota; Fungi; Basidiomycota; Agaricomycetes; Cantharellales; Hydnaceae
Description: eukaryotic LSU rRNA
Rfam family: Eukaryotic large subunit ribosomal RNA
Source: RNAcentral
AAGAGGGAACAGCUCAUCAUUGGAAUCAGACAGGGCUUGGCUCUGUCCGAGUUGUAGAUGAGACGAGUAGGUUCAUCUGGACUGCAUGGCACUCAAGUACGAUAAUGCCCAUCAGUGGGACAUCAUAGAGGGUGACAAUCCCGUCUUUGGUGCCGAUGUUCGAGUCCUUUACGAUGCCUAUCUCAGGAGAGUCGAGCAGUUUGGGAUUUGCUGCUUCAACAUGGGAGGUAGACACCUUCUAAAGCUAAAUAUUGGCAAGAGACCGAUAGUGGACAAGUACCGCAAGGGAAAGAUGAAAUAGCACUCUGUAAAGGGAGUCAAAAGACGUGAAAUUGUUGCGAGAGAAGCGAUUCAAGUCAGCUUGGCUAGGACCAUCGACGGAUUCUUUCGUCUGGACUAGUCUCGCCAGCGGUCUCAUCUCAAAGGGUUUGACCGAUGCGCCCUCAGUUGCGCGGCUGGUGGAAUGGCUUGCAAUCGACCCGUCUUGAAACACGGACCAAGGAGUCUAACAUGCAUGCAAGUAUAAGGGUGACAAACCCGUAUGCGCAAUGAAAGUAACUUUCGGUGAUUGCUGUGUGGCCUGACGACCAGACACGAAACGUGUUGUCCCUCGAAUGGCCACUGCCCAGGUUCCGUGGUACGAUCCCAUGAACAUGGAGACGGAGCAUGCAUGCUAGGACCCGAAAGAUGGUGAACUAUGCCUGGACAGAGCGAAGCCAAAGGAAACUCUGGUGGAGGCUCGUAGCGAUUCUGACGUGCAAAUCGAUCGUCUGAUCUGGGUAUAGGGGCGAAAGACUAAUCGAACC